UGACUAUUCGACCUAUCCGAUCAUCGGGUACCAUUGCUAGAUGGUCACUUCGAUUAGUACAGGAAUUGGUUCCUGUGCUACCGUCUUAGGUUCGAACCUGUGGGGUCACACACAUUAGAGGUUCCUUUCUGAUCUGAUGGCUGAUUAUGAGUCUUAUGUAUUUGGGACUCUAUGAUUGAGAAUUAGGAUUCUCUGAUCAUAAGUUUCACACAUUUUGGGUACCGGGGUCAAAAUUUUGAAUUUCAAAUUUUGAAUUUGAAAUUUGAACUCUUUGAUCAGGGUUUCAUAUCGAUGGUCUCUGAUGCCUAAUUACCUAUCGGAUUUGGACUCAAUAAUUAUGAAAGGUUUUAUUAGUAAUUU
RNAcentral lists this long non-coding RNA (360 nucleotides) under Elaeis guineensis (African oil palm). Its description in RNAcentral is "long non-coding RNA (EGUI_LNC072664)". The record is from RNAcentral. Lineage: Eukaryota; Viridiplantae; Streptophyta; Magnoliopsida; Arecales; Arecaceae.